CGGCUCAGUAACACGUGGAUAACCUACCCUCAGAUCUGGGAUAACUCCGGGAAACUGGAGAUAAUACCGGAUAAUCCGUGAACGCUGGAAUGCCUUACGGUUGAAAGCUUUAGCGUCUGAGGAUGGGUCCGCGGCCGAUUAGGUAGUUGCUGGGGUAACGUCCCAACAAGCCGAUAAUCGGUACGGGUUGUGAGAGCAAGAGCCCGGAGAUGGAUUCUGAGACACGAAUCCAGGUCCUACGGGGCGCAGCAGGCGCGAAAACUUUACACUGCGCGAAAGCGCGAUAAGGGGACCUCGAGUGCGUGCGCAAAGCGUACGCUUUUCAGAUGCCUAAAAAGCAUCUGGAAUAAGGGCCGGGCAAGACCGGUGCCAGCCGCCGCGGUAACACCGGCGGCUCAAGUGGUGGCCGCUAUUAUUGGGCUUAAAGGGUCCGUAGCCGGACCAGUUAGUCCCUUGGGAAAUCUUACGGCUUAACCGUAAGGCUGCCAAUGGAUACUGCUGGUCUUGGGACCGGGAGAGGCAAGAGGUACCUCAGGGGUAGGAGUGAAAUCCUGUAAUCCUUGAGGGACCGCCAGUGGCGAAGGCGUCUUGCUAGAACGGGUCCGACGGUGAGGGACGAAAGCUAGGGGCACGAACCGGAUU
RNAcentral lists this ribosomal RNA (642 nucleotides) under uncultured euryarchaeote. RNAcentral's name for it is "bacterial SSU rRNA". It matches the Rfam family "Archaeal small subunit ribosomal RNA", at positions 83 to 730 of the family's 1478-position model. The record is from RNAcentral. Lineage: Archaea; Methanobacteriati; Methanobacteriota.